This is a long non-coding RNA of Acipenser ruthenus (sterlet), 469 nucleotides long. RefSeq lists it as uncharacterized. The transcript is spliced from 3 exons. NCBI's taxonomy places the organism in Eukaryota, Metazoa, Chordata, Actinopteri, Acipenseriformes, Acipenseridae. The record is from RefSeq and is a predicted model, not a curated record.
AUCAAGGGCUUCCACACAGGUGUGGCUCAUGCGUUAAUUAAGCAAAUAACAUCCCAGCAUGCUUAGGGUCAUGUAUAAAAAUGUUGGACAGGCCUGGUUGCCUAUAAUUAUGGCUAGCAUGGCUGCAAGAGGAGACCUCAGUGACUUUGAAAGAGGGGUGAUUGUUGGGGCGCGUUUGGCAGGAGCUUCAGUGACCAAGACAGCUCAACUUGCUGAUGUUUCACGAGCAACGGUGUCUAAGGUAAUGUCGGCAUGGAACUCUGAGGAAAGACAUCAUCAGCAAAGGGCAACAGUGGGCGAGAAGAGCAUACUCCAGGAUUGUGAUAUCCGUGCAUUAAAUCGAAGUGCAAGGCAAAACAGCUCAACAUGGAUACUGUGAGAAUGCCAAAAUGUUUAAUACACUGAAGUGGGCAGGAGACAUAAAAACUGCAACUGUCAGUCCUUUGAAAGCUGAACUACAAUGAAUCUA